This is a long non-coding RNA of Homo sapiens (human), 18414 nucleotides long. RefSeq lists it as uncharacterized. Lineage: Eukaryota; Metazoa; Chordata; Mammalia; Primates; Hominidae. The transcript is spliced from 2 exons. The record is from RefSeq and is a predicted model, not a curated record.
AGUCAAUGCUAGAAAUGGACGUUUAGUUAUUGAAUCCCGCUAACGAGGGGAGCCAACAAGAGAGGGAUGUCGGCAUCGGGUGUGCGGUUCCAAGAACUGAUUGGCUGUGGAGAUUAGAAGUUAGGUGAAAAUUCUCUUAAACUCGGGCAAACGAAUUGAUGAUUUUUCCCCUGGUCGGUGUUAGAGACACAGUAAAUGCUUAACCAUCUCGCUAGACAGCUCAACUGAAGUGGCAUUAACUUCCCGGGAAAGUGUGUAGAAAGGCAUUUUUAAAUACUGUAAACUCGAACGUAAAUAUCUUUUAAUGUGGAACUGUUACUACAUUUAACACUGAACAUCUUUUCAACUUUUACAUAGUUCAAGGGUGACACGAUUCAGUUCGUUAUUUCCGUAAUUGGAACGUGUAAUGUUUUUUGGCCCAAGUUGCGUUAUGUGAUUUUGUUUUCUUCUAUAACGACUCUACAGUAAUGGGGUAGAAUGGAAUAUUGUGGGGAAAACAUUUACUGGCUCUUGGAGAACUCUCAAAACCAAUUAGGUUCUUUAAUUCCUCUUUAAAAAAAUAUUUCUCGCCUGGCGCUGUGGCUCACCCCUGUAAUCCCAGCACCUUGGGAGGCCGAGGCGGGCGGAUCACCUGAGGCCAGGAUUUGGAGACCAGCCUGGCCAACAUGGUGAAACCCCGUCUCUAUUAAAAAUACAAAAAAUUAGCUGGGCGUGGUGGCGCUCGCCUAUAAUCCCAGCUACUCCGGAGGCUGAGGCAGGAGAAUCGCUUGAACCCGAGAGGCGGAGUUUGCACUGAGAUCACGCCACUGCACUCCAGCCUGGGCGACAGAGCAAGAUUCCAUCUCAAAAAAAAAAAAAAAAUUAUCCAUACUUUGGAACCUGGAAGCAGCGUGACGAUCACUUUCAUUCUUGUAAUCAUCUGAGUUUGCCUUUGUCCUAGAAAAUUGAGUUCGGAAUCUCCAGACUCCAUACAUAUCUCUUGAUUUCCAGGGGAGAAGGGUUUUAAAUGUUCUUACAAAAUGUCUCUUGUUGCCUGAAUUCCAAACGUUUUGAAAUGUUAGGGCCGGGCGCGGUGGCUCACGCCUGCAAUCCUCUAGCACUUUGGGAGGCCGAGGCGGGCGGAUUGCCUGAACUCAAGAGUUCGAGUCCAGCCUGGCCAACAUAGCGAAACUCCGUCUCUGCUAAAAAUACAAAAAAUUAGCCGGCGUGGUGGCGCCUGUAGUCUCAGCUACUCGGGAGGCUGAGGCAAGAGAAUCGCUUGAACCCGGGAGGCCGAGAUCGCGCCAUUGCACUCCAGCCUGGGCAACAAAAGCAAAAACGCCGUCUCAAAUAAAUAAAUGAAAUAAACUUAGUAAACUAUUUUUAAAUAAUGUUAAAAUUAACGGUGUACGUAGUAGAACUGUGAGAGAUCUCAUCUUGGAAAUAGAGUGAUAUACUUGAAGGCAAGAGAUUGGGUCAGGUACUAUUAACACGUUUUACACAUGAACAAACCGACACUAAGAGGUAAGGUAAUUUGCUUAUGAUUGAGUUCCCAAGUACAAAGCUGAUUUUUGAACUAAAAUCUGACUCGAAAAUCUGCUCUUUUCUUAUCAGGCUGCUUCCUACAAAAAUAUAACCUCGCUUAGCAUCUGCUUGUUAAGCAUCCACCCUCACAGCUCUUUGGCAUUCAAAUGUUUGUUGAGUAGGGGUAAUAGAGCACUACGUUCGAAUCAGAAAAUGCCUUAUUUUUCCUUGCUUGCAAGAGCCUAUUAUAAAUAAAUGCCUUGUUUUCGCUGUGUCUCUUUCUUGUUGUCGAGAGCUCAGGCUGGUCUUAAUUUCUGCAACCAUAGUAUUAUCUCCCAGGUCUCCUUCUGCCCUGUGUAUUUUGCAGUUAUGCUUUAUGUGGAGAUGAAGCAUCCUAAGUGUGGAGAACGAUAUAUGGGGCCCGAACAAUAGGUGCUGAAGCCAGAUUGUGUGACUAAAGUUGGUAUUUGAACAAACCAAGUGUUUAUUUUUUUAAAGAGCAUGGUAAAAACUAAGUUUCAAAAAUCGAUGCUGGCAAAAAUUUCCUUGAAAAAAUUCUCACCAAGUUCACUUGCACGGUACUACCUGGGGAAUGAAACACAUUUGUCAAGGACACGCCCAAAACUAUGUUGCUGUUGUAAUUUUCAAAGACUGGGAACUGCGGCAGGGGGAGUUACAAUUAAAGCAAACAUCGGCGUAUCAGUUUAUUCAUUCAGCAAACGUUUAUGAAGCAACAAACGUAUGCCCAAUAUUUCAGUCUUGCUGCUCUUCCUCCCCAAAUUCAGGAACCUUUGCAACGGAAAGCGGCCUCGGGCAGGCGCCUUUUGAGCAGAGGAGUAAAACCGCCAGAGCGUCUCAUCUCUGGGCCCGGAGCCCCAGGCUCGUUCUCCUCAGCCCCUGCCGGCGGCGGCGCUCUUGCAGCCAUUCCUGUGAGGUCGUUUUUCGGAGCAGCCGGGCCGGCCGAGGAGUAAGUAGGCGCCAGAGUUCUAGCUCGGGCAUCUGCCUCGGGGCCCUGUCGCCGCCGCGCCCCGGAUCCUGCGUUGGUCCUGUCCGAUAAAGCGGAGGUCGGCCCUGCUUGCUGACGAGACCGUAAAAACCACGGCGCUUGGCGCCCUGCCGCCGCCACACCACACCAAAGUGUACCUGCCCGAGGCUGGCUUCGGGCGCGAGCUUGCAUUUGUGACUUUCUCUUACCGUCUUUGUUUGCUUCGUUUUAAGUAUUACUUCCAGAUAAGGGACACAUUCUCGAAAUACUUUGAAAACAGUUUUGAAUUUUGUUCCUCCCGUUGAAACGGAUUAAAUUUGGACCUUUCAAGCUACACUGUGCAAUCAUCAAUCUCAAUAAGCUCUUAAUAGGCUCAUUCUUCCGUAGGCUACAAACAAAAUAAAGAUCAUAACAUCCUGCGGAGGAAGCCAUUGGUCCAUGUAGAGUCGCCAGAUGUCAAUUAAGAGUAGAUCGCUUUUCAGAGAAUACUUAACGACUCUGGUUUAGACCUAGACUUGGAACUUUGAGGUGUUUGGAACACUGGGCAGAAUUUUCCUUUGUUACAAAACAAAGUUUAUGAGAACGUAAUUUGUUUUUGUUGUUUUUGUUGUUAGUAUUGAAGCAAUUUUGGUGCAAACCAAAGGAUAACAAAGCAAAACAAUGAAAAUCACCCAGAGUUCCAUUACCCACACUGAACCAACUUGAAUAUAUUGGUUUAUUUUGGCUUUUUUCCAUAUGAAAUGUUAAAUUUUCUUGUACUCACGUGUAGAAUAUGAUAGUUUGCUCUUUCAUGUAACAUGUCUCCCAAUUUUUACAUACAUAAUUCUAGUUUCAGUAAGCAUUUUUAUAACUACACUCUUUUUCCUUUGUUAUUGUAUGUCUAGGUUAUUUCAACUUUGCACUGUUGCUUGUAACUACUAUGUGAUGAGGCAGUAGCUAGAUUAGUAUUUAGAACGUGAGCAUUCAAGUCAGGCAGACCUGGGCUUCACAACUUACUGUGCAAUUUCAAAGAGUUUAACUUUUUUGAGCCUCAUUUUACACAGUAACAUGGGGAUAAUGGUUCUGAUUGCAUAGAAUUAUUAUGAGAGUAAGAUGAAAUAAUGAGUGGAAGUGCCUGCAGCAUGUAUUGUUAGUAAAUGCUGUAUUACUGCAGGCAAAUUUUUCUUUUGUUGUGGUUUUUUGGUGACAUGUAUGAUUUAUUUCCAGAUUUUGAAUAUACUUAAAUACUAUUAACCACAGUAGGGGUAUGGGGUUUGAUCCACAGCUUUUCAUAUAUUUUAUACAAUAUAUUGUGUGUUUGAUACACAGCUUUUCAUAUACUUUAUUAUAAGUAACACAUGAAUUAGAAAUAAUUUUUCACAAUAGGAAAAACUUUUUAAAAAUUAAAAUUUAUAAUCCUGCUAACCGUAGGUGAAUAGUCACAUUUUGGGCAAUCCUUUUUUAUGCAUAUAUAUGUAGUGGUUUUAUUUUAUUUUAUUUUAUUUUUAUUUUUUGAAACGGAGUCUUGCUCUGUUGCUCAGGCUAGGGUGCAAUGGUGCGACCUCGGCUCACUGCAACCUCCGCCUCACGGGUUCAAGCAAUUCUCCUGCCUCAGCCUCCCGAGUAGCUGGGAUUACAGGCGCCCGCCGCUGCGCCCGGCUAAUUUUUAUAUUUUUAGUAGAGACGGGGUUUCACCAUCUUGGCCAGGCUGGUCUCGAACUCCUGACCUCGUGAUCCACUCGCCUCAGCCUCCCAAAGUGCUGGGAUUACAGGCAUGAGCCACCGUGCUGGGCCUGUAGUGUUUUCUAAAAAUAGAAUUAUAUUAUAAAUUGGGUUUAUCAACUUGCUGAAAAUGGCAGAGGCCAGUGCGAUGAGAGUAGGGUGAUUAAGGGAGUAGGAAGUAAUGCAGGAAAGGGAGUUUGUAGGAUUUAGAUUUCACUGAAAGUGUACUGGACAGGUUGGGCAUAGUGGCUCAGGCCUGUAAUUGUGUCACUUUGGGAGGCUGAAGUGGAAAGAUCCCUUAAGCCCAGGAGUUCGAGCCAGCCUGGGCAACAUAGGGAAACCCUAUCUCUAUAAAAUAAAAAUAAAAAUAAUUAUUUUGAAAAAAAAGUUUACUGGACAGAGUAAGUUCAGGGUUGAGGAGUGACCUGAUUUGUUUUAGAAGGCUCAUUUGGCUGCCAUAUGGAGAUAGACUGCAAGGGACCAGGGGAGGAAGAUGCAAUCCAAUUAGGAGAGUAUUUAAGUAAUCUCUGUGAGAGAUGGUGUUAGUUUCGAUCAGGGUGUAAGUAGGGAAAAAUGAUUGGGUUCUGGAUAUAUUUUGAAGGGAGAAGUUAUAGGAUUCACUGAUUGAUGGGAUGUGGAAUUCAAGAGAAAGUGACUUAAAGAAUUUUGGUUUGGGCAGUUAAACAGAUACAGUUGCUACUUACCAAGAUAGAGACUGAAAGUUGGGGGAAACUAAAUAGAGUUCUGUUUCAGUCAUGUUACCUGUUGUGGAGUCUAACUAGUUGGAACAGGAGUAUGAAAGACUUAAUCUUCUGUUCUUGAGGUAUCAAUUUGUCCCUUCAUUUCUGUCAGUUUUUGCUACAUAUAUUCUGUUACUAGGUGCAUCUAUCCUUGUAAAUUGUUACAUCUUCCUUGUGGGUUUAUCCUUUUAUCAUUAAAAAUGUUUCUCUUUUUCUCUAGUAACAUUGUUUUAAAGUCUAUUUUGUCUGAUAUUAAUGUAGCUAUUUCAGUUCUCACGUGAUUACUAUUUACAUGCUUUGUAUCAUUGACUCUAAAAUGUGUCUCCUGUAGACAUAUAGUUGGAUCUUGGUUUGUUUUUUGUUUGUUUGUUUGUUUUUUGUUUUGAGACAGAGUCUUGCCCUGCCUCCUUGGCUGGAGUACAAUGGCGUGAUCUGGGCUCACUGCAACCUCCACCUCCCGGGUUCAGACGAUUCUCCCACCUCAGCCUCCCCAGUAACUGGGAUUACAGGGGCCCGCCACCACGCCCAGCUAAUUUUUGUAUUUUUAGUAGAGACGGGGUUUCACCAUGUUGGCCAGGCUGGUCUCAAACUCCUGACCUUGUGAUCCACCUGCCUCGGCCUCCCAAAGUGCUGGGACUACAGGCAUGAGCCACUGUGCCUGGCCGGAUCUUGUUUUUUUUAAUCUGAUAAUUUCUGCCUUUUGAUCCAAUUGUUUAAUCAUUCACAUUUAAUGUUAUUGAUAUAGUUGGAUUUAUGUAUGCCAUCUUAUUUUUGUUUUCCUUAUGUCUUGUCUUUUUCUUUUCCUGUCUCUCCUUUACUGCUUUGUUUUGGAUCAAGUGAAUAUCUUCUAAUGUAGCAUUUUAAUUUCUUGAAUGAUUUUUUACACUGUUUUAAGUUUUUUUUAGAGACUGUAGUGGUGCUCUAGGGCUUACCGUACAAUUAGCUUAACUUAUUAGAAUCAGCUUCAGAUUUAUACUAACUCAAUUGCAGUGAGAUAUAGAAACCUUACUCCAAUAUAGUUUUAUUCCAUGUCCCUGUUUUUUUGUGGUUUUGUUGUUGUACAUGUUAUAGUUGUUACAAACUCAACAAUACAUUACUACAAUUAUUACUUUUACAUCAUUUAAAGAAAAUGAACAAAGGAAAGCAAAUAUAUAUUUGUAGCUUUUGUUAUAGUAACCUUAUUUAUCAUUUCAGGUUGUUUGUUUAUUUUUCUUGUGGAUUCAUUACCAUCUGGAGUAAUUUUGUUUUCUUUUUCUUUCUUUUUUUUUUUUUUGGAGGGAUAACAGGGUCUUGCUCUGUUGCCCAGGCUGCUGGAGUGCAGUGUCAUGAAUAUAUCUCACUGUAGCGUCAAACUCCUGGACUCAAAGUGAUCCUUCCACCUCAACCUCCUGAGUAGCUGGGACUACAGGCACAUGCCACCAGGCAUGGCUAAUAUUUGUAUUUUCUGCACCUCAGCCUUCUGAGUAACUAUAUUACUCUAUAAGCACACAUCACCACACCCAGCUAAUUUUUAAAUUUUUUAUAGAGACAGAGUCUCACUGUGUUGCUCAGGCUGGUCUCUAACUCCUGGCCUCAAGUGAUCCUCCAGCUCUGGCCUCCCAAAAGUGCUGGGAUUACAGGCAUGAGUUCUUUGUAUGAGUUCCUUGUAUAUUUUGGAUAUUAACCCCUUGUUAGAUAAAAGGUUUUUCAGUAUUUUCUCCCAUUCCGUGGACUGCCUUUUCAUUUUGUUGUUUCCUUUGCUGUGCAGAAGCUUUUUUGUUUGGUUUAGUUCCAUUUGCUUAUUUUUGCUUUUGUUGCCUGUGCUUUUGGUGUCAUUUACAAAACAAACAAACAAAAUUAUUGCCAAGACUAAUGUCAUGGAGCUUUUCCACUGUUUUCUUCUAGUUUUACAGUUUCAUGUCUUACACUUAAGUCUUUUCACUUUUUUUUUUUUUUGAGACAGAGUCUCCCUCUGUUGCCCAGGCUGGAGUGCAGUGGUGUAUGAUCUUGACUCACUGCAACCUCCACCUCCUGGGUUCAAGUGAUUCUCCUGCCUCAGCCUCCCGAGUAGGUGGGAUUAUAGGCAUGUGCCACUGUGCCCGGUUUAUUUUUGUAUUUUUAAUAGAAAUGGGGUUUCACCAGGCUGGUCUUGAACUCCUGACCUCAAGUGAUCCACCCGCCUCAGCCUCUCAAGGGACUAGGAUUACAGGCAAGAGCCACUGCGCCUGGCCUCUUUUAACCAUUUUGAAUUGACUUUUGUGGAUGGGGUAAGAUAAGGGUCCAAUUUCAUUUCUUGGCAUGUGGUUAUCUAGCUUUUUCAACACCAUUUAUUAAAGAGACUAUCCUUUCUUUAUUGUGUACUUUUGACACCUUUGUUGAUGAUUAGUUGGCCACAUAAACGAGGAUUUAUUUCUGGGAUUCCUAUUCUGUUCCAUUGGUCUAUAUGUCUCCUUUUAUGCCAGUACCAUACAGUUUUGAUUACUGUAGGUCUGUAAUAUAAUUUGAAAUGAAGUGUGAUGCCACCAGCUUUGUUCUUCUUGCUCAGGAUCAUUUUAGAUAUUCUGGGUCUUUUGGGUUCUGUAUGGAUGUUAGGAAUUUUUUUUUUUUUUCUGUGAAAAAUGUCAUUGGAGUUUUGCUAGAGAUUGCGUUGAAUCUGUAGACUACUUUGUGUAUUGCAGACAUUUUGACAAUAAUGAUUCUUCUGAUCCUGAACAUGGGAUAGCUUUCCAUUUAUUUGUGUCAUCUCCAGUUCUUUCAUAUAUGUAUUAUAGCUUUUAGCAUACACAUCUUUCCCCUCCUUGGUAAAACUUAUUCCUAAGUAUUUUAUUCCUUUUGAUGCUAUUGUAAAUGGGAUUGCUUUCUUAAUUUCUUUCUUGGAUACUUCACUGUUAGUGAAGUGUAAUUGAUUUUUGUAUGUUGAUUUUGUAUCCUGAAACUUUACUGGAUUCGUUUAUUCAUUCUAACAGUUUUUAGUGGCGUAUUUAGGGUUUUCUGUAUAUAGGAUGAUGUCACCUGCAGAGACAAUUUUACUUCUUCCUUUCUGAUUUGGAUGCCUUUUAUUUCUUUUCCUUGCCUAAUUUCUGUGGCUAGGAUUUCUAGUACUAUGUUGAAUGUAAGUGAUAAGUGUGGGCAUCCUUGUCUGUCCUUGUCACAUUCAGUUGUAUGUGCAAUACUGGAACCAUCCAGCUCAUAGUCACGUAAUUCCUCUUUGUGCAGCCUCAUGUAAAAUCACACCCCUAUUCACAUUUUUUUCUGUCUGUCUCCCACCUCUCCAGGUCCCUGCCCUGCAACUUUCAGUUACUUCAGACUCUCAGAAGACUAGCCUCUAAAUACCUCAAUUUAUCUGCACUACUGUGGUCUACUUGAAAUUCUCUUCCCUCUUCUGCAGUUUGUAAUGGCAUUCAGGCCAAAAACUGUAGUAGUUUUAGGGCUCUCUUCAUUUGCUUCUCUGCUCCUAGGGAUCAUAGUGCUGUGCUAUCUGUUGUCCAGCAUCUGACACAGUUGGUUUUAUAUUUUGUCUGGUUUUCUAGUUAUUAAGCAGGUUAAGUCUGGUUCCUGCUGUUCUAUAUAGCAGGAAGCAAAGGUUCUCUCAUGAAUUUUUAGCAUAAUAACAUAAGCGUGGAUUCCAAAAAUUCAUUACACAGAUCCUGGAAAUCUGUUUACUAUGUUUUAUACAUUCUGUGAAAGCUGGAGAAUAUAUAUUUGUUUUACUAUGUGUAUCGCAAAUAAAAUAUCAAUUUCAUGUGCCAGAGAAUUGAAUACAUUAUCAAAGGGUCAUUUCAUAACGUUAUAAUCACCAUCCAUCCUGUAAGUCCUUUGAAAUUUCUUCUUUUCUAUGGAUCUAACAUUGAUCAAUAACGAAUUCCUAAGCAUCUAUAUUAGUUAGCCCAGUGUUUCUCAAAGUCCACCGCAUGUAAAAAUCAUCUAGGGAAUCUUUCUAAAAUGUGGAUUCUGAUUUAGUAGGUCUGGGGUGAGGUCUUCCCUUUUGCAAUUCCAGCAAGUUCCCAUGGGAUGCUGGUACUGGUUAAUGGAAGUCACUUAGAGUAGCAAGGAGCCUGUUUGCCUAGUAUUUACAAUGAGCACGUUUUGGGUAUCAUCAAAACAAGAGAAUCUAAAAAUGUAUGGUGUGGGUGGAAGGUUGUGUUACUUGAUAUUUCAAAAAGAUCAUUGAAAUCAGAAAAUCUCAGAGAUAUGUUGGAUUUCAUCACAUUUAUUCUAUGGCUUAAUGUUGUUUUAUUUUGAAUAUAUAAUAAGAGAGAUACCACAAAUCUUUAGCUAUUAAUAUUUAGGGAUGUUAAUGUCCUUAAUUCAUAUUGUCUCAAAUGUGAUUCAUUCCCUCUAUAGGUAUACUAAAACAGGCAUUCAUGCCUACAAAACCAUCUUCCUAACUUUCUUUCCUCUUUUUAGUCUCUUCCUGAACCAGUGACAGUGGUUCUCAAACAUUUUGGUCUGAGGACCCCUUUAUGGCCUUAAAAAUGAUCGAAGAGCUUUUAUUUAUGAAGGUAAUACCUGCUAAUACUUGUUGUAAUCUAUUAACAUUGAGAAAUGUAAAAAUUUUUAUUAAUUCACUUAAAAUAUCAAUAAACCCAUUAUUUGCUAAUAUAAAUUGCACUUUUUAAUGAAAAAUAACUUUAGUUUCUACUGUGUGCUUCUGCAUUUUGAAAAUAUGUCUAGGAUACGGUAUGUAUUUAGGAGAUAUUUUCUAAAUAAAUGCAUAUUCAUUUUUUAAAAUGGGACAAAUGUAGCAUAGACAUAUUUUUGCUAACAAUAUCCAUAUAGUUGCAAAUUUCACUUUUAGAAUUUGCUUUCAAAAACAGGUUGUUUAUUCUUCUUUGUUAUGCCUUAGUUAGUAAAUCAUAUAUUAUAAAACUUCUUCAAUGCAAUUGGUCUUUGGUCAGCCAUUGACAUAGGAAGAGUUAGAAAGAGUCCAGGGCUCCUUGGUACUGGCUGUGACUGGAUAAGUAGGUUGUGGCUUAGUUUGUGUUUAGGUGUCAUAACUAGGCUAGGUUUGGGUCCCAGAAAGUGCUAGCCUUACUGUAGGAGAGGAAGUGGUAUUGCUGGGUGUGUCCUCAGGUCAGGAAGUGGGACGAGUGCAGUAUGGAAGCCCAGGGGGGUCCUUGUGACUGGAGGAAAGGUGAGGUUUCCAGUAAAGGAUUCAGAAUUCGGGCAUGGUGCAGCAUGCCUAUAGCCCCAGCUACUCAGGAGGCUGAAGUGGGAGGAUCACUUGAGACCAGGAGUUCAAGGUUGCAGUGAGCUGUCAUUGCGCCACUGCACCCCAGCCUGGGUGACAGAGUGAGACCUGUCUCAAAAAUAAAUACAUAAAAAUAAUAAUUAAAAAAAAAGGAUUCAGAAUUCUAGAAUACAUAUUAUCUUUCUAUCAUGCAGAUCUGUUCUUAGGAUUGUAUUUUCCAAAUCAUGAAUAAAAUAAUUUCCAAAAUACUUAUUGGGAAAUUAUAUAUAUGUACUGUAUUACUUGGAAUAAAAAUCAAAUAAAAGUCAAACUUCUUAAUGUGGCUGUAAAGCCUUGAUUAUUUAAACCUUGCCUAUUUUUCAGUUUAAUCUUUCAGCCACACUGGCCCUUGUGUUAAUCCUAAAACAUGCCAUGCUUUUUCCUACAUUAAAGCUUAGGGUUUUUGAUAUUUCUACUGCCUGGAUUUCUCUGUUCUCACUCUUCCUCUUGAUCACCAUGACUUAUUUUUCAAGUGUUGGCUUAAAUGUCCGUCUCACAGAUAGCCCUUAUCUAAAUAACAGCUUUCCCUCUGGUUCCUAGAUAAAUUAGGACCUGUUUUUUUCUAUAACUUUCUUAAAGUAUCCUAUUAUUUUCCCUGAUAAAACCUUGUUGGACUGUUUGUCAGUAUAUUUAUUUGCCUGUUUGUUUGGUGUCAGUUUCUCUUUUUUUCCUGUGUGUUUUGUUUGUUUGUUUUUUUGAGACGCAGUUUCACUCUGUCACCAGGCUGGAGUGCAAUGGUGCAAUCUCGGCUCACCACAACCUCCACCUCCCAGGUUCAAGCAAUUCUUCUGCCUCAGCCUCCCGAGUAGCUGGGAUUACAGGCAUGUGCCACCAUCCUGGCUAAUUUUGUAUUUUUAGUAGAGACAGGGUUUUUCCAUGUUGGUCAGGCUGGUCGCAAACUCCCGACCUCAGGUGAUCCGCCUGUCUUGGCCUCCCAAGGUGCUGAGAUUACAGGCGUGAACCACCGCACCCGGCCUGUUUGUUUGUUUUCUUAUUAGACUAUAAACUAUAUGAGAUCAGACCAUGUCUCUUUUGUUUAUCACUCUGGCCUACCUGCUAACACAGUGCUUACACAUAAUAGUAGGUGCUCAAGAAAUACAGUGUUUGAUGGAUGAACGUAAAAUUGUAAGAGCCUGAACUAGUGUAAUAUCGAAAAUAGGGAGGAAGACAUGAAUUAGGAAAGCCUUUGAAAAAUUAGCAUGUUCUGUGAUAAAGCUACAUCUAGGCAAUAUUUUUUGAUACUUUUAAAAAAAAAACUGUAAUAGCUACCCAAUAUUUAGGAAUGAUACACAUCACACAUCUCAGUGAGGUAUGUAGCCUUUUGUACUGGUGAAGAGAGCCAGGUGAAGUCUAACUCUAAGGAUCUAAACACUCCAUUCUAGUAGAGAGCCUGGAGAAGUGCUCUUGCAUAAGCUCAUCCAUGUAAGACCAUCCAUAACUUAGUGAAAUAAUUUUCAUUGCUGUUUAGUUGCAAAAAUCACUCACUGUUUUGCCUCCAUAAGAUUAUCGGUUUUAGUGUUUAAUCGUUCACAGCCUUGUCAAAACCAAAAUGGCUAGGGAGAGAACUAUUUCCCUACAUUAAAACUUCGAGCAAUGCUCUUCAUAGAUUUUGUUUUGAAUUGUUUAGGCCCAUCUCAGAGUUCAAGACACUUAGUCUCUUCUAAGAGAAAUCAUGGUCACAACAAACAGAGAUUAAAUAAAGAGCAAGAAAUUAGAAGAAACUCAAACCAUUCACUUAGAUUAUUUGUUAGAUUUUGGCCUUAAAAAGAGACAAAGUUGCUUGAAACAAGUGAUUAAACUGACAUUUUUAGAUUAUUAUUUUAUUCAUACCUUUAUUGUGAAUAAAUUGGCCACAUGAUAACAUUUUAUAAUGUUAAAUAAAUAUGAUAUAUAUAAAUCUGUAUACCACAACAAUUAAAUUGGAGGGCGAUUUGCCAUUUAAAUAAUUUAUCAUAGGAUUUUUAUAAGAUCAAGCGCUUAGUGCAUAUCAAAGAGACAGAAAGUUUUCAUUGCAGUUCUGCACGUUCACUGAGUACCUUUUAUGUACCAGUUGCAUUGUUCUAGAAUCUUAUCUAUCAUGUAAAGCUAGGUACACCUGAAAUAGUUUAGUUAUGGUGGCAAAGUUAGACUGCAGUUAUUGGCUGGGAAUUUUUUGUAUAUCUAUGUACAUCUUCCAUAAGAGGGCAGCAAAGGACCAGCAUGAUUUUUUCCUUAUCAUGAAGUCAUAGCAGAGAUUGCCUCAUAUUGCAAACUUAAUAGAAAUCUUCUCAGAGUAAGGGCAAACAGAGGGCAUGGUUACAAGUUUACUUACUGUCUAGCCUGUCUUUUAUAUGGUCUGAUAUGGCUUUUUAGUACAUAGAUUAUCUCACAUCACAGUGAUAGCCUAGUGAUUAAAUGUUGAUCCUGGGGUCAGUUGUCAGGCUUUAAAUCCUGGAACCAUAACUUAACUAGCUUCGUGGUCUAGAAAGACUACUCAGUCUUUCUGAGCCUCAGUUUCUUCCUCAAUUUUUUAUAAAAAGGAGGGCAAGGGAUAGUAACAAUGCCACUUCACAUGGUUUUAAUAAACAAAAUAAAAUUUGUGUCCUGAAGAGGCUAAGAACAGUUAAAAGGUGGAGCUAGAAAAACCACCCUAUACUAGCCUUAGGUGUAUUGUAUUUAUUUAAGUUAAACUCUUAUUAAAAAGAGUCUCAUAAAGGAAAAUAUAGGUCAUUACUUUCUGUAACUACUUAGUAUUUUUAGUUAACUAACAUAUAUAUCUAUGUACUGACCAAUUAUUUGCUCGUACAAUUUAUCAAACCAAUUAAAUAUACACUGUUAAAUUUAUUUCCCUGUCCCCCGAGACAGAUCCUGGCUACGUUGCCCAGGCUGGAGUGCAGUGGCGCGAUUUUGGCUCACUGCAACCUCUGCCUCCCAGGUUCAGGCAAUUCUCCUGCCUCAGCCUCCUGAGUAGCUGGGAUUACAGAGGCCUGCCACCAUGCCUGGCUAAUUUUUGUAUUUUUAGUAGAGAUGGGAUUUCACCAUGUUGGCCAGGGUGGUCUCAAACUCCUGACCUCAGGUGAUCCAGCCGCCUCGGCCUCCCAGAGUGUUGGGAUUACAAGCAUGAGCCAGCACGCCUGGCCUGAAAAUACAUUUUGAUGAACAAAAAAUUUUUAAUUUUUUUUUUUUUUUUUUUCCUGAGACAGAGCUUUGCUCUGUCACCCAGGCUGGAGUGCAAUGGCGUGAUCUUGCCUCACUGCAACCUAUGCCUCCUGGGUUCAAGCAAUUCUCCUGCCUCAGCCUCCCGAGUAGCUAGGAUUACAGGCAUGGGCCACCAUGCCCGGCUAAUUUUUUGUAUUUUUAGUAGAGACGGGAUUUCACCAUGUUUGCCAGGCUGGUCUCAAACUCCUGACCUUGUGAUCCGCCCCCGUGGCCUCCCAAAGUGCUGAGAUUGCGGGCGUGAGCCACCACUCCCAGCCAAAAAUUUUUUAAUUUUAAAAGUCAAUGUAUAUCAUUUGUAUUUUAUAGUUAGUGCUUUUUUUGUAUUGUUUAAAUUUUUAAAAUUCUUCCAUUAAUCUAAAAUAUUUUCAUGUGUGCUUUCUACUAAGAGAAUUUAAGUUUUGUUUUUGACAUUAUAGUUUUUAAUACAUUUGGAUUUGGAUCUUAUAUCUUGUAUGAUACAGAACUCUAAUUUUCGCCUUUAACUACAUGCAUAAUCAUUUUUUCCACCUCCACUUAUUGAAUAGUUCCUAAUUUUCCCAUCAAUAUCAUGUGUUUCUUCUGGCAUAGCCAAAGUCCCAUAAAUGUGUGGGUCUGUUGUAGUUUCCUAUUUAAUUCAGUUAAUUUGUCCAAUUUGUUUUAUUAUGCCUUAAUUACCACAGCUUCACAGUAAGUCUUUAUGUCUGAUAGGGCAGCUUCCUCUAGUGUCUUCAGAAAUUUCCUGACUUUAAAAAAAAUCCUUAUUGUUCAUGCUUUUUUAAAGAAUUAGCUUUACAUGAUGCAAGAAAAAGAUCUGUUGGAAUUUUGAUUGUAAUUUUGUUAAAUCUAUAGGUCAACUAAUUACAAUAUUGAAUCUUCUUAUGCACAAACAUGGUAUAUUUCUCCAUUUAUUCAGGUCUUUAUUUAAUGUCUCCUAAUGUCUUUUUGUAGUUUUUACUUAGAGAUCUUACAUAUUUGUUAUUAUAUUUACUCCUAGGUACUUGGUAUUCUCUAAGAUUAUUGAAAAUGCUGUCUUCUUUUUAAUUACAUUUUCAGGUAUUUGUCAUUGGUAUAAAGAAAUGUAUUUGACAAUAAUCUUAUAUUCACCUUAAAUUCUCUUAUUUCUAAUAAAUUGUACUUUUUUUGGUUUUCUACAAAAAUGAUCAUAUCUAAAAAUAAAGUUAGAUUUGUUUAUUCUUCUGCAUCAUUUUGAAUUCAGUUUAUUAUUUCAUGUGCUAUUAGAACCUUUAAUUUAGUAUUAUUUAUUUUUUGAUUUGUAAAUCGGAAUGCUUUUAUUAUCUUUUCAUUUAGGAUGAUGUUUACUGUAGGUUACUUAGAUACGCUCUAUGGAAAUCUCUUUUAUUUUUUCUAAGACCUUUUAUUAUGAAUUUAAUGUUGAAUUUUAUCAAAUGCUUUCUCUGCAUUUAUUAGAAUAAUUAUGAUUUUUCUCUAUCUGUUAUUAUAAUGGGUCAGAUUUAUAGAUUUUUCUCAUACUAAGCCUAUCCUUGUAUUCCUUGGAUAAAUCUAACUUGGUAAUGUUUACUUUUUUCAUAACUUUUAGCUAUUAAGUAGAUACCAAAUUUUCUUUCAAGGUCAAGUUUGAUAGUUAUAAAAAACUAGUGAUACUAAGUCAUAGAAAAUAUACUUUAAAAAACUAGUGAUACUAAGUCAUAGAAAAUAUACUUUAUUUUAUAAAAAGACUUUAACUGUAAAAAGUAAAAAAAAAAAAAAAAAAAAAAAAAAAAAAAAAAAAAACCUGGCCGGGUGCGCUGGCUCACCCCUGUAAUCCCAGCACUUUGGGAGGCCGAGGCAGGCAGAUCACGAGGUCAGGGGAUCGAGACCAUCCUGGCUAACACGGCGAAACCCCGUCUUUACUAAAAAUACAAAAAAUCAGCCGGGCGUGGUGGUGGGCGCCCGUAUUCCCAGCUACUCGGGAGGCUGAGGCAGGGGAAUGGCGUGAACCCUGGGGGGGCGGAGCUUGCAGUGAGCCAAGAUUGCGCCACUGCACUCCAGCCUGGGAGACAGAGCAAGACUCUGCCUCAAAAAAAAAAAAAAAAAAAACCCCUAGAAUUUUAAUUACUGCCUUUACUUUUAAUUCAGUGGUUUUUAGUAUAUUCACAGAGUUGUGUAACAAUCACCAUGAUCAAUUUUAGCAUAUUUUUAUUACUUCAAAAAGCAACUCUGGACUCAUGAGCAGUCAUUCACUCCCCAUCUGCUCCCAACCCCUUUGUUCCCAUCCGCCCACCCAGCCCUAGGCAGCCACUAAUCUACUUUCUGUCUCUACAGAUUUGCCUGUUCUGGACCUUUCAUAUAAAUGCAAUCAGGCAAAAGAAAGGAGAUUUCAGUGCUCAGUGUUGCCAGGUAUCUCUGCCUCCAGUUUUGCACCUUCCUGGAAAGCUCAUUUUGUUCAGAUUGUCUGCCUGCCUCUAUCUAUCCUGCCUUCAGUGGAUGGCAGAGAUUUCAUCUCUUUUGUUUGCACAGCCUUGAAAGGUGCUUGAUACAGAGAUGCUUGGUAAAUACUUGCAGAAUAAAUUAUAAAAGUAACACAUACUCAUAAAAAUUUUAAAGUAAAAAUAUGUAUAGUAAUAAACACUUGGUGCUUAUUACAUAUCAUCCAGUGGGAUAAAUGCUUGUAAGUAUAGUCAGCCUUCUGUUUCCCUGGGUUCCAGAUUUGUGGAUUCAACCAACUGUGGCUCUAAAAUAUCUGGGGGGAAAAUGGCAUCUGUACUGAACAUGUACAUACUUCUUUUCUUGUCAUUCCUUAAACAAUACAGUAUAACUAUUUACAUAGCAUUUAUACUGUAUUAGGUAUUAUAAGUAAUCUAGAGAUUAUUUAAAAUAUACUGGAGGAUGUGCAUAGGUUAUAUGCACAUACUAUGCCAUUUUAUAUCAGAGAUUUGAGCAUCCAAGGAUUUGGGUAUCUGCAAAUUUUGGUAUUCUUGGGAGGUCCUGGAACCAAUCUCUUACAGAUACCAAAGGAUGGCUGUAUUCUCCAUUCCUUUUCACCAGCUGAGAUCGUACUGUUAUCUGCACUUAACAGAUUAAGAAAUAGGUGUGAUGAGUAAUUUGUUUAAAUUCUGUGGUUGAUUGUGUUACUUUUCGACUGUAUUCUGUGCUCUUCCCUACAGGAGGAUUAUUCAUUCCUGUUUACUUGAAUUCAGGCAACAUCAUGUAACUUGAUUUAAGGAACCGAUACAUGAGUGGAAAUUCUGUGUGGCAUUUCUGAGCAGAAGUUUUAUGAGGCAGCACAUGCUCACUGUGUUACCUGUUCCUUCUGCCAUGAGACUGGCAGAUGGACAUUCUCUAUCAGCCAGGAUAUCAGAAUGAAGAAAUGUAGAACAUAGACCAAAACACCAAUGAGAAAUAAGCGUUUGUUGUUUUAGGGAAAGUGUGUUACCACAGCAUAAUUUAACCUAUCCCAAGUGAAUACAUAUUCAUGGAGUUAAUAUCUAUACCUGAAAAUUGAAACUCAGGUUGUCUACAUCUAACUAUGCCUCUGUCUUUUCCAAAGGUAUAAAGUAGGAGAAACUUCCCCAUGAUCCUACUCUUCCAGUGUUAACUACAGUUAAAAUUUAGUGUAAAAUUGUUUAAUACUUUUUCCUAUGUGUAUGUCAAUGUUCAUUUUUUUAAAACUGGGACCACUUUAUAUGACACAUACUAUUUUAGAGCUUCCUUUUCCUACUUAGUAAUAUAAAAUGGACCACUGUCACAGGUUAGGUUUUCCAUAAACAGACACUGAGUUUGGAAUAUAAGAUUAUUUUCAGGGAUCAUCACCUUUAAAAGGAGAAGUGAAGAAGUAGGAUUGGGGAGAGCAAGAAGUAGAGCUGUGAUGCUGGCCCACAGAUGUCUCUCUGGGGUUCGUAUUGUUUGUCAGAGUUAUCCCAUAUCUUGUAGAAGUGGCCAUGCUUUUCAACCCACUCCUUACUCAGUGGCCUGAUGUGGGCUGCCCUGAGCAAGGUAGCUUUCUGCAGCUGAAGCAGACACUGAAGUUGCUGGCAGCUAACUCCAUCUUUGCAGCUGGGCAGCAAAUCCUUUCUUGAAGUGGGAUCUGGACAUUUAUAUUUGUCUAGCACAGUUCAUUUUUUGCAUCACUUGGAAACCCUUCUCUGUUUUCAUUCCUUUUGUUCUUAAUGUAUAUUCUCAAGCCUCUUGUCUACAAUCACUAGAUAAGUUUGUUGUAAACUGUCUUAACUAUAAAAUGAAGAAGGUAUAGGUAACUAUAAUAUGAAGAAUGCAUUGGAAGUGUAAAUUUUAAAGGAGUUUGCUGAUUAAUAACUCUUUUGUUGUAACUUUUGUUCAAUGAUGUUUGACAAAUACUUUUUUUUUUUUUAAUUUGAGGCAGAGUCUCACUCUGUUGCCCAAACUGGAAUGCAGUGGCAUGAUCUCAGCUCACUGCAACCUCCGCCUGUUGGGCUCAGAGAUCUUCCCGCCCCAGCCUCCCGAGGAGCUGGAACUACAGCCUUGUGCCACCACACCCAGCAAAUUUUUGUAUUUUAUUGCAGAGAUGGCAUUUCACCAUGUUGCCCAGGCUGGUCUUGAACUACUGGACUUAAGCAAUCCGCCCACCUGGGCCUCCCAAAGUGCUGAGAUUACAGGCAUGAGCCACCGCGCCUGGCUGACAAAUACUUUUUAAAAAUAUCCAAGUUUCUGGAUUUUAUUCACCUCUACAAAAAUGAUUUAAGUCCUGUAGAAACAUGUGCCCACAAAUGACACAGUAAUCUCCAGCAAUGUGUUCAACAGCACGUUGAGCAUAAUUGAGCAUAACAGACAUUUUUAAAUUUGUUGUCUCAAAUUCCAUUUAGAUUUGGCUAUUGAUGCAAAAUUAGGGAGGUCAUUUUUCACUAGAUUACUUUCAAUGCUGGAAUCCAUACUUAAAAAAAAAAAAAGAAGAAACUAGAUUUAGUAUAUCUUUCUUUGCCACUUCAGGCUUCCAAAGGAGAAAAAUUCAUGGAUAAGUCAUUAACUGUUACAAAUGCAUUAUGUCUUCAGUUGUGAUGGUUAUGAUAAAACAUGUUUAUUUUAUAUUUGUAAUUUAGUAAAAUUAGUUGAUUCAAGGAGCUCUAUCAUAAAUGGGAAGUAAUAAAAUGAUAAUAAUUAAAGCA